RNAcentral lists this ribosomal RNA (990 nucleotides) under Triticum aestivum (bread wheat). RNAcentral describes it as "partial small subunit ribosomal RNA". The record is from RNAcentral. Lineage: Eukaryota; Viridiplantae; Streptophyta; Magnoliopsida; Poales; Poaceae.
AUGGCGAUCAAACGAUCCGCCGCCGAUGUCCCGGCAUCUCCCCCUCGGCCGCGGACGGCAAAGCGGAUUCUCACCACCGACUCGCCGCCACCGCCGCCGCCUUACCUCCCUUCCGAGGUCAUCUUCGGCAUCCUGUCAUGGCUGCCGUCCAGGUCCGUCCUCCGCUUCAGGUCCGUCUGCAAGUCCUGGCAGGCCAUGCUAUCCGACCCAGUUUUUAUCACUGCUCAUCACGAGUGCUCCAAGAAGAUCCACCCGUCGCUGCUCAUGGUGCCCUGCGCGUACGACCGCGACGAUCUCCUCACGAACAAAAACGACAGCGCCUUCCGCAUGUCCUUCUACAGGUACCGCGUCGGCGACGUGGAGGAGCUGGUGCACCAGGAGGAGCUGCCCCAAGGGAUCGCCCUGUGGAGCAGCCCACUGCACUGCGACGGCCUGAUCCUCAUCUCCACCAUGCGGCAGGAGCUGGUGGUCUGCAACCCGGCGACGAGGGAGUUCGUCACCUUACCAGAACGGAAGCACUACAUCUUCGCCUUCCCGAGGGUGGGGUUCGGGUUCGACCCCCGCAGUAAGAAGUACAAGGUGGCGAGGUUCUUCUACGAAGAAAACCUUCCCAACAGCAAGAAGUACAGGCUCGUCUGCAGGUUCGAGGUGCUCACCCUCGGCACCGAUUCAUGGCGGCAGACGGCAGACCCGCCGCACUGGAUUGUCGGACAAACUCCGGCUCAUGUCAAUGGUUACAUCUACUGGACAUGUGUUUUAAACCAAGGUCGCGUGACUCCAUCCAAUUCAUUCGUCCGGUUCAGCUUGGCCGACGAGGAGUUCAGCUUGGUUCCACAUCCUCCGUCUGAUUUCAGACCUGCCCGCUUCGUGGAGUUGGAGGGCCAGCUGUGCUGCGUCUGCUUGGGCUUCACAAACCUAGAGCUCGAGGUUUGGACCAUGAGCUUCGGGGUCGAUCAGAGCCCCGAGUGGAGUCGACGCUGGGCUACGUGA